CAGUCGCCGCGGUAACACGUAGGUGGCAAGCGUUGUCCGGAAUUAUUGGGCGUAAAGGGCCCGCAGGCGGUUUCUUAAGUCUGAUGUGAAAGCCCCCGGCUCAACCGGGGAGGGUCAUUGGAAACUGGGAAACUUGAGUGCAGAAGAGGAGAGUGGAAUUCCACGUGUAGCGGUGAAAUGCGUAGAGAUGUGGAGGAACACCAGUGGCGAAGGCGACUCUCUGGUCUGUAACUGACGCUGAGGAGCGAAAGCGUGGGGAGCGAACAGGAUUAGAUACCCCUGUAGUCCCUGUCUCUUAUAC
Molecule: ribosomal RNA, 301 nt
Filed under: uncultured bacterium
Lineage: Bacteria
Description: partial 16S ribosomal RNA
Rfam family: Bacterial small subunit ribosomal RNA
Source: RNAcentral